CCGGACGUCGUCAAGCACCUCCUCUUCUCGACAGCGAUCAACUGAAGAAUGACAAAAGUCCGGAGGCCUACAAGCAAUUCAUCAAUGGCAGGGCAUCUUCGUCAUGCGGCGGCCGGUAUCCAUCGGAAGCACACUGCUAAGUAAGCACAUGAACGGGAGAAGUCAACACACGGAGUCCAGCCACUGAACACAGAGCGAGUCGCUUCCCGACAGUACCGCAGAGUCCACUACAGCACAGAACAGUAGGUACCAGGAUGUCCUUCAGUUGACUCUCCGCGUAAAGCAACCACGACUGUGACAGAGCAAGAACCACACUUCAUGUUAUUAAGUCAUAACAUGAUUUGUCAGACUGCUACCACGACUACGAAUAACCAUCCAUUCAUUUUCUGAGCAGCUUAUCCUCACAAGGGUCACAGCAGCGCCGGAGCCAAUCCCAGCUAUCAUCGGACGCGGGAUGCACCCUGAACCGGUCGCCGGCCAAUCGCAGGGCACAUGGAGACAAACAGCCGCACUCGCAAUCAGACUUUUCGGGGCAGUUUAGAGGGUCCGUUUUUGGGAUGUGCCCGGAGAAAAGCCAGGCGGGCACGGGGAGAACAUGCAAACUCCGCACGGGCGAGGCUGGGAUUUGAACCUCAGAAGUGCGCCGCCCUGCUGCCACUAAUAAUAAUCAUACUAAUACUAAUGGUAAUAAAAGGCUCAUCGUGCAUGAA
Long non-coding RNA from Syngnathoides biaculeatus (alligator pipefish), 710 nucleotides. RefSeq lists it as uncharacterized. NCBI's taxonomy places the organism in Eukaryota, Metazoa, Chordata, Actinopteri, Syngnathiformes, Syngnathidae. The transcript has 3 exons. The record is from RefSeq and is a predicted model, not a curated record.